Molecule: long non-coding RNA, 653 nt
Filed under: Glycine max (soybean)
Lineage: Eukaryota; Viridiplantae; Streptophyta; Magnoliopsida; Fabales; Fabaceae
Description: long non-coding RNA (GMAX_LNC004357)
Source: RNAcentral
GCAACUUGAGGCCCAAGUCCAACAGUUCAGAAAUAGAGUAAAAAAAUACACCUUGAAACCCUAAAGAUCCGACCCAUCAGCUUUGUUAGCCAAGAGCCAACUACGCCUCUGUGAAAUUGAAGCAUUGUUUCAGAACGAAAAUGGAAGAGUUGGAAGUCGGGGAUGACACGAAGAAGGUCAGAGAGAGUAAAAAAAAAUGUUGCUUUGUGUCACCUCUUUUGUUUGGACCUUUGCUUUCUUUGCAAGUUUGACAUUUAUAAUGAAGAAUGUCUUAGGACCACUGUCACCCCUACUUCUUUUUCACAUCUGGACUUCUUUAGUUUUCUUCAAUUGGGGAAGUGAAUUUAUGUUUAUUAGUUUUUAAUUGUUUCUUUUAUGUGUUGUUUCUUAGGAGUAUUACUUUUGUUUCAUUGUUCUUCAUUUUUUAUUUCUCUAUUUCUCGCACAGGGACCAUGCUUUCAGUGUGGGGAGGACAUUUAUUCAAACCAUUAUACUGCCUAUUUGUUUUGCGUGAUACAUGCAUGUGGUUUUUCUGGCACUUAUUUUGGCUUUCUUUUUCUUUUAUCAUAUUUUGGGAAUAAAUGAGAUUGCUCAUUCAAAUUGAAAUAAAAUAAAAUAAAGAGAGAGAUUUAGUUAGAAGACUUUGCCAAUAG